CUGUGGCGGCAGCCGGGGUGAGAGGAGCGUGGCUGUCUCCUCUCUCUGCCAUGGCAUGUGCUCUCCCACUGAUAUCAGUGUACUCCAAAAAGGGGGAGUCAUCUGGCAAAAAUGUCACUUUGCCUGCUGUAUUCAAGGCUCCUAUUCGACCAGAUAUUGUGAACUUUGUUCAUACCAACUUGCGCAAAAACAACAGACAGCCCUACGCUGUCAGUGAAUUCGCAGGUCAUCAGACCAGUGCUGAGUCUUGGGGUACUGGCAGAGCUGUGGCUCGAAUUCCCAGAGUUCCAGGUGGUGGGACUCACCGCUCUGGCCAGGGAGCUUUUGGAAACAUGUGUUGUGGAGGCCGAAUGUUUGCACCAACUAAAACCUGGCACCGUUGGCAUUGUAGAGUGAACACAACCCAAAAAUGAUAUGCCAUCUGUUCUGUCCUGGCUGCCUCAGCCCUACCAGCACUGGUCAUGUCUAAAGGUCAUCGUGUUGAGGAAGUUCCUGAACUUCCUUUGGUAGUCGAAGAUAAAGCUGAAGGCUACAAGAAGACCAAAUAAGCUGUUUUGCUCCCUAAGAAACUUAAAGCCUGGAAUGAUAUCAAAAAGGUCUAUGCCUCUCAGUGAAUGAGGGCUGGCAAAGGCAAAAUGAGAAAUCAUUGCCGUAUCCAGCGCAGGGGGCCAUGCAUCAUCUAUAAUGAGGAUAAUGGCAUCAUCAAGGCCUUCAGAAACAUCCCUGAAAUUACUCUGCUUAAUGUAAGCAAACUGAACAUUUUGAAGCUUGCUCCUGGUGGGCAUGUGGGACGUUUCUGCAUCUGGACUGAGAGUGCUUUCUGGAAGUUAGAUGAAUUGUAUGGCACUUGGUGUAAAGUCGCUUCCCUCAAGAGUAACUACAAUCUUCCCAUGCACAAGAUGAUUAAUACAGAUCUUAGCAGAAUCUUGAAAAGCCCAGAGAUCCAAAGAGCCCUUCGAGCACCACGCAAGAAGAUUCAUCGCAGAGUCCUAAAGAAGAACCCACUGAAAAACCUGAGAAUCAUGUUGAAGCUAAACCCAUAUGCAAAGACCGUGCACUGGAAUACCAUUCUUCGCCAGGCCAGGAAUCACAAGCUCCAGGUGGAUAAGGCAGCUGCUGCAGCAGCAGCACUAGAAGCCAAAUCAGAUGAGAAGGUGGCGGUUGCAGGCAAGAAGCCUGUGGUAGGGAAGAAAGGAAAGAAGGCUGCUGUUGGUGUUAAGAAGCAGAAGAAGCCUCUAGUGGGAAAAAAGGCAGCCGCUACCAAGAAACCAGCCCCUGAAAAGAAGCCUGCAGAAAAGAAACCUGCUACAGAGGAAAAGAAGCCUGCUGCAUAAACUCUUAAAUUUGAUUAUUCCAUAAGGGUCACAUCAUUUUGGACAACUUCUUUUGAAAAAAUACCUGAUCAUACAGGCAGUGAGAAAAAAAAAAAAAAA
This is a non-coding RNA of Macaca mulatta (Rhesus monkey), 1433 nucleotides long. Lineage: Eukaryota; Metazoa; Chordata; Mammalia; Primates; Cercopithecidae. The record is from RefSeq and is a predicted model, not a curated record.